This 551-nucleotide long non-coding RNA is filed under the name Rattus norvegicus (Norway rat). RNAcentral describes it as "long non-coding RNA NONRATT033294". Lineage: Eukaryota; Metazoa; Chordata; Mammalia; Rodentia; Muridae. The record is from RNAcentral.
GAGGAUUCCUGCUGUGUUUCUGACUGCUUUCAAAUUUCCUCUCUUCUUCUUUCCCCACAUCAGUAGCACAGCUGGCCUGGACCGCUUCUUGUGCAGCCGGAUAAGCCAUACACCACUCCGCGCAGCUGCCAUUUGAUCCUCAGCUUCUCCUCCUCCCUCCCUCUUAGUCUCCUGAAGGAAGUUCUGAUAUCAAAGCCCGUCAGCAUCCUCUCCCUAAGGGAGUAAGUAGAAGGGAGUGACGUGGAGAGAGGGGAAUGAGAGGAAUCAGCCAGUCUGGGAAAGGAAGAAGGCAGUGGCUAUUUUGAUCCUGUCACAGAUGUCUGCAUAGGACAGUGCCUCCAUUAUCAGCGAGUUCCGGGGACAUUCUCAGUCAUGAAGCAUCUCCUCUGGUGAUCUGCGAAACACGGGCAGGAGCAAGCCACAGAUGGUUUGAAAAGCAGAACAUAAGAAAACAAAAGCUUCAGAAGACUGGCGUCAUGGUAGGACGUAAACCCAACAGAAGAGAAAAUGCCCUGAAGCUACAAUUAGAGGUUCAAACAGGGCUCGGCGUG